GACAUGGUCCAAUAAUCUACUUUAGAUAGAUAGCCACAGCACUGAGGCAAGGACUCAAGCAGAGACUUGUACACUGGUGUUCGUUGUAGUAUUCACAGCAUCCCCAAAAGUUCAGCGUGGCAUACUCUUGCUUAUUUGGGUUAGGAGGUCACUGAUAGACUGAGAGGGGCCUCACACAAUCUAGACUGGCUUUUAGCUCACUACAUAGCUGAAGAUGACCUUUAAGAUCCUGAUCCUCCUUCCUCCACCUCCCUCCAGCCACCAUACCUAAUUAUAUGUGAUGCUGUGGAUGGAGCCUGGGGCUUUGUGCAUGUCAAGAAAGCUCACUACCUACUGGGCUAUGUUAACUUCUUCUUCUUCUUUUUGACAACUGUUUUUCUUUAACUUGUAGAGCUCAAGCUAAUGUCUUCAAAGUAAAGAAUAUUCAUCAUAGACAGACAGACUGUCCAGUUCAGUGAAAGAACACAUGAGAGGGUUGAGGAAGAAUAGAACUCCACAGCUGAGCCCCACUGUGAGGAAUAACCCAUUCAUUUUCCUUCACUGCAAAUUCAACAUAAAAAUUGAAGUUCCCAAACCACCAGCUUUCAUUUUUUUUGGACAAAAGCAGACCUCUAAGUCACUUACCAACAAAUACGGUUCAAGGUUAUUAAAUUUCGCUUUGAGGGGAAUUCAAUUAAAUCGAUCAUUAGCUAUUCAGAGUGGAUUUAUUGAUGCUGACUCAAAUUUUUAAAAAUAAAAAUUUUGAAAAUCAUUAAGACAAAAAGAAUUUAGUUUCUUAGAAGCCUGCCAAUAUUAAUUGCACCAGAAAGGCUGUAAUCAGGGUCUAUGUGGGGGAUCUUGCUUGUAUUAUUAAAAAAACAAAGUUAUUUUAGAAUGUAAUCUUUCUGAAGCAAAACUCUCCCCAUGGUACCACUCUGUUUCAAAGCCUUCAGGAGUUCUUAGAUCCUGAAGGUCACCUGUCACGGAGAUGUGGCAUAUAGACUCAGUGGACUAGCUCGUGGUGCCCCCCCACCCCAGCCUCAUUGCUUUGGAGCUCUGAGCUUUGGCAUCUUGGUGUUUGGUGCUUUUGUUUUGACCGCUCCUCUUAGUGAAAUGCUGACUAUGCAUUGCCUGAAUCCACUCAGCCUUCAGUCUUUCACCCAGGUAUCGUCAUGGCCAUGAAGAUUCCAUUCCCUGGGCUUGAGAACAAGCCCCUUUCUACCUCCCCUGGUUCCUAAGCAUAUUCCUCUAGAAUACCCAAGGGACUGCUGUAUACACUUGUUUCCAUGCCUCCUGUUGCCUGGUCAUGGGCUUCUCAAGGUCAAGUGCUGUCUGUGAUUCAUCAUUCCAACUUCUGAAGCCCUGCCUCCCAGAGGGGUUCAAGAAAGACUGAAUGAAUAAGCAAACUAACUACCUGGGCUAACACUGUGUCUCUGAUGGUAACCAGAAGUGACUUACAAGAAGGUAUCAUCAUCUCACUGGGUAAGGAGAAAGGGAUGGCCCUUGUUCCAUUUCCUCUUAGCCAUUUCUUUAAUCAGCCAUAAGUCAUGCUCCAAGAAUCAGUGAAUUAUUCUCUCUGCUGCUGUCCUCUCACAAAGCCAUGUGGAUCACAAGUAGUCUCUCUAUGUGAAACCUACCGGUGAUGAGAGAUGACACAGGAGAGUGCUACAAGAAAUACUCAGGGUGUUCACUGUUAACUCUGUUUUAAAUGCCUUUGUGUUGUGUGUGUGUUAGGAGGCGCAUGCCAUGAUUAACUCUUUUUUAAGAACUUUGGCAAUGCUUGCACAUGGCAAGUGAAUGUGGAAGUCAUGGGACAACUAUUUUGAGUUGGUUCUCACCUUGCACUGCAGGUUCCGGAGAUCAAACUCACUUCAUCAGGCUGUGUGCAAUUUUUACCUGCUGAGUCAUUUGACGGCCCACUAUUAUUUGUUUUUAUUUGGCACUUAUUAUGUACUAAUCACUUUGUAUAUACUAAUCAAUGAACUCUGAUACAAUUCCAAUAAAAUAUAUACUAUUACUAUUUCCACUUAAAAAUUUUUCAGAUGAGGAAUACAUGAGACUUAGAAGGUUGCUUGAUGAAAUAAAGCUAACAAGUAGCUGUUUGAGGAUUUGAACUUAGUAGUCUAACUACACAGCCUCAUGUUGCUAUGCACAUCAGUACUAUAGCAUCUAAUUUAUAUUAAAUAGAUACAUAUGUAUUAUGCAUGCCUCCAUUAUUUUGAGAGAGAGUUCCACUAUGUAGGGUGGGUUUGAAUUUUCUCUUCUUGUGCCUCAAAUUUCUGAAUGCUGGGGUUACAAUGCCCGCAUACUAGUUCAUGCUCCAAAUUGUUACUGGUGAAAAUAUAGAGUGUGUGUGUGUGUGUGUAAAUAUAUACUAAUUGUUUAAUAUAAUAUUUUAUUAUAUAGGUCUACCAAUAAGAAUGUAACUCUUUCUUCUAUGGACUGAUUCCUUUCUGUUGUUGUUUUUCAAAACAGGGUUUCUCUGUAUGGCCUUAACUCUCCUGGAACUCUUGCUCUGUAAGCCAGGGUAGUCUUGAACUCAGAGAUUCACCUGCUUAUGCCUCCCAAGUGCUGAAAUUAAAGGCAUGUGUCACCCACCCAGCUUAGAGUGAUUCUGUAUUCAAAUGAAGUUUAAGUUAACAACCCUAUCACCAGAUUGACUGACUAUUCAAAUGUCUUACCUCAUUGAUCAUAAGUAAUGAGCAGAGCUGCCCUGUAGGCUGCAGUUUGCCGACCUCCAGAUCAUGCCUUCCUUUCUUACCAAAAUUAGUGCCAAUUCCCGCACAAUGCAGUUCAAAGUGUCUUCCUUACUUAGCUCUCACUGUAUUCCCCAGCAUGUCAUUAUUUUCUACCUGGAGCAUUGCUGGUUCUCCUUGGAUGCUUCCAAAAAGCUUCAUGGUACAGUAGAUUAAAAGAAGUCAAGAAGAGCUGGUCAGUCUUGGAUCUACAACUUUGGGUCGGUAGAUGUGUUCUCCUGAUGUGAAGAGCCUCCCCUCUGACAGCUGCAAGCCUCACCUGCUCAUGGUUUCCAGAGGCUUACUAUAUUGCACAUCCCGGGGGCAUUAUUCAAAGCCAUGCUUCUGUAUGGUGAACAUUACUAAAGUGCAAAACCCUUCAUUUUAUAAAUAGAGAAGAAACUUUGUAAUUUUCUCCAACACAGUGGAAAGUUAUUUGUUAAACAGCAUGGCCAAAGGAGGAAGAAGGAUUUCCAGGCAGCUGACAGCUUACCUUUGGUGUGAUUCUGAAAUACUCUUCUCCUUGAGGCAUGUCUCUGAGAUUCUCGGAUGCUGCUUUGUGGGAGGCUACUGAAGUCCCUAACAUCCCUGGGCCCUUAGGCUUGCCUCAUCUAUUCCCCCCUCCCUUUCAUCCUUCCAUUUCCAGGAGAUGCUUGACUUGGAGGCCACAGACCACAGAAAUAGGAAAUUGCAGCCUGGUUUCUCCUGGAUUUUGACUGUGGAGAUGAACUGUGCCCUGCUUUAAGUUACUCUCUCUUAUGCCUUGCCCUGGGUGAUUCCAUUUUUUUCCUUUGUUGGUUUGCUUGUAAGAUGAUAUAGCCCUGGUUGCCUGGAACUCUGUAGAUCAGGAUAGCUUCAAAUUCACAGAGCUCUGUCCAUCUCUGCUUCCCAAGAUUCCUGAGAUUAAAGGUGUGUGCCACCAUGAAGAACUUUCUAGUGGCUCCAUGAGGUGGUCUGAAAGAAAAUGGUUCCCAAAGGGAGUGGCACUAUUAGGAGACAUGGCCUUGUUGGAGGAAGUGUGUCAAUGUGCAUGUUGGCUUUGAGGUCUCCUUUGCUCAAGCUAGGACCCAGUGAGACAGUCUACCUCCUGUUGCCUGUGAGUCAAAAUGUAAGAACUCUCAGCUCCUUCUCCAGCGCCAUGGCUGCCUGAGUAUGGUCUUGUUUUCCACCAUGAUACUAAUGGAUUGAACCUCUGAACUGCAAAGUGAGCCACCCCCAAUCAGAUGUUUUCCUUUAUAAGAGUUGCUGUGGUCAUGGUGUCUCUCCACAGCAAUAGAACCCCUAACUAAAACACUCCAUUUUAAAAAGCAGCAACUGACUCCAUUCUGAGUAUAAAUACAGAAGCAGAAUGACUCGGCAUCUAGUUUGUAUACAUAGACACCACCACCUGUCCAGCAUGAAUCAUAAGGCACAGAAUAAUAAUUAUUCAUACAAGUACAAAAAAAGUUCAUCUAUGAUUUUUUUUUAAAAGUAGAAUGCAAUCGUAUAAAAAAAUCUAAGUUUGUGAACUUAUGGAGCAUUCUAGGCCAAUGAAGGAUGCAGCAAAAUCACGCAGACCCCAUAAAAUGAGAAAUACCUAACACUACAGUGACAAUUGCUGUUACCUGACCACCCGAUGACCAUGCAUCAAGGAACCAACAGGCAGAAACUGACGGUCUCCAGGGCUUCAGCUUAGCACAGUCUCGUUGCCUGACAUGAGUCACACGAAAUUGCUUGCUAUCCACCCAGCCAUCCAUCCAUCCAUCCAUCUUGAGCCAAUCCUGUGCCUUCCCUCCACACUGCCCAUGCCUCUGGAGACUCUCAGCAGCUCUCCAACUGUGCUAAUUACGGCAUCUAACCACCUGUAAUGAUUCUUUUGGAACCCAUAUCAGAUCCCUGACUCAAUCUUUAGAAAGGCUACUUCAACAGUUUUGUAAACAUUCUGUAUUUGUGUGUGUGUGUGUGUGUGUGUCUCACACAUAUCACUCUGUGAAAUAUAAUGUGUGAUCUGAGAGUUAAUGUUAAUAAUUGAGAUUGGAAUAAAAAAUGUAAUAGGGCUUGAGAGAUGGCUCAGCAGUUCAGGGCAUACUUCUCUCACAGAGGACCAGAGUUCAGUUCCCAGCACCACAUCUGGCAUCUCAUAACUGCCUGUCACUCCAUCUCCAGGGGAUCCAAUGCCUCCUUUGGCCUCUUUCUGUACUUGCACUCAUGUGCAAGUUCACAUUAAUAUAUGCAAUUAAACAGUAAAAACUAAACCUGAAAAAUAAAAGAGCCUGGGAUUGCCAAAGGCCAUGCUAUCAAAGGAAAUCAAAAUUACUUGUUAAACUGCAGAUAAUGAAACUGAUAUAGUUUGUGGAUUUAUUGUUAACCAAUAAACUCUGACACAUGGAAAGAUA
Long non-coding RNA from Mesocricetus auratus (golden hamster), 5089 nucleotides. RefSeq lists it as uncharacterized. The transcript is spliced from 3 exons. The record is from RefSeq and is a predicted model, not a curated record. NCBI's taxonomy places the organism in Eukaryota, Metazoa, Chordata, Mammalia, Rodentia, Cricetidae.